CUCAUUCACUAAAGAACGAUGACACAAAAAGUCACCAUUUUAAGGCAAAAUCUUGCAUUAAAAACCCAAAUCCUACAAUGUGCAGGCAACUCAGCACUGGUAUUUGGUCACCCACCAGAGAGCCCUGAGCUGAAAAGCAGCAGUGCUGACUCAGUCUGUAUCUCUGCCAAAGGGCACAGAAUCACGGGAAGCAGAGGCAACCUCCCCCGAAAGAAGAUUAUACCAAAGCAUAAAAAUCCACUUCCAGUGGCAGAAGCAGAAAGCAGACAAAAUGAAGAACCACCAUAUGGUGAAAGUCAUUCUUAGACGCUUUGUGCUCUUCAGUCAAGUCUGGUGUCUCAUUAAAGGUUGCUAUUUAAAUGUUUUAUUGUUAAUGUGCCACUAGGGAUGCUAUGAUCACUUCUUAAAUUUUCUUCAGUGUUCUCAAUAGUAUCCUUUUCUAUAUUUUUACUUAAAGUAUUUUUUAUAAUGCGAUAUUUUCCAUUUGACUAAAAUCAGAUAAAAAUUAAAGAUUUUUUCAUUUACAUUUUUGUCCUUUAUGACUAUAGAACACACUUGAAGGAUUGUAUUACAGUGACAAGCUUCUAGUCUGUUUGUUUUCCACCAAGGAGCUGUCUGCCAUCAAGUAUGUUGGUAUGAGAACCAGUGCUUUGUGCCCUCUUUUGUAACCCUAGAGAAGAGAAAAAUAAGGCUCAAAAGAACAAGCUAAUAAUGAAUAUAUGUGCAACAAAGGUAAUACAACUUUUCAGGGAAAGAGAUGCUACCUUGUAAGUCUGAUUACCUACUGUAAUAAAAACAAGUGGAAAAAAGAUUGCAAGCAAUAAAAAUCAAUUAUAUCAGAUUCUUAAAUAGACCAAAACCUGUCAAAUAUUUUGAUCACUGGUGACCUGGAAAUCCUAUAGCUUAUUUUAUCUCAACUGGUUUGAUUGCAGACUACUGGAAAGCCAAUAUCUGUGUCCUAAUUCAGCUUCUCCAUAUUGUUCCUGUCUGUGCUCCUGGGACUGCAAUAAGCCCCUGCAUUUUACAGUAACACAUAAAAGAAAAUCCAGAUCCUUAAGUAUAUCUGGUUGCUCUAUAUUAUGUCAAAACAAAGUAGGUGUGUGGGCUGAUUUUUUUCCAGAUAAUUUAUUUAUAAAACCUGUCAAACAUGGAAAAAUAAUCAGCUUGGGUUUUGGGGGUUUUUAGAGUAUUGAAAAAACAAAAUUUGCACAGAAUUGAAAUUCAGAAAAUCAAUCAGGAAAUGAAAAGAGAAAUAAAUUGAAUAAAACAUAAAAAACAUGUCAUUCUUAUAAAAUGUAAUGAUACCGGAAAAAAACUGUAGGUCAUUCCAAAGACUGGGAUCACACAUUCUUAAAAAUAACUGGAUUAUUUUUUUGGGCUGUCAACUUGACCGAUGAUCUACACAAAGCCUUGUAGUAAAAUUUUCAUUAAACCUUUUAUCGUCAAUUUAAUAGUUCUUAAGAAAGCUAUAUUGAUUUAAUUAGUCUUUUGUAAAUGAAAUUGUUCUUAGAGAGGAUACAUUGAGAUGAAAAUAUUUAUUGUUUUAUUCAAAGAAUGACACUUUUAAGUGUCAUUAUCAAGGAAUUAUCCUUUCAAAAUCACUUAAUAUUACUAUUUUAUUAUUUUACCUUUCUGUUUCCUUGUGACAGUAUAGAAUAGCACAUCAAUCAAUAGCAAUUCACAGUAAUAUAAAAAUAUUAUUGGGCUUUAUCAUGUCUCAAAUUUUAAAGGGAAGCUGAUACUUAAAACUGGUUGAAACUACUGAUUUUCUAGAACUUAUUGUCUCCUCUGCUGCGAGAAAACACUUUGGCUUUUAAAACCCAAAAGAAGAUAAACUUAAAAAUUACUAAUUACAUAACCAGCAACUUUCAAAACCUUUUUUUUGGGACAAUUUGUUUUAUUUUUAGAGUGAAAAAAGUUCUGUGUUUAUUUCAAUUCUUUUGAGAUAAGAGGAGUAUUCAUGCCAUUUUCCAUGAAGCCCCUGAUUUAUAAGUCUUUUUGUCAAUAUAAUUUAUGGACGGAAGUGUUUAACUUCAGUCAGUAAGAAGACAAGCUUGAAAUUCCCUAAAAUGCUUCUCACUACCCACCGAAAAGAGAUCUUAGGAUAAACAGGCUGCCAGUUUAGGGAUCUAAACUGAAAUGCUUAAUGCAGGCAGAGUAAAUACCAUCUUCAUCCAGUAUUGACAAAUACUUAGCCAAAAUACUUUGAAAAAAUUUGUAAAUAAAAAGAAUAAUUAUAUUAUGCCAUAGUAUAUUAUUGGAGAUAUAAUGAUAAAUUGGAUUAGAUUGCUUAGAACAAUGAUAUUUAAAAGGAUGCAUUGUCCAGACAUGUCAACCAUAGACAGUCCAAGCAGGAUUCAAACUAAAAUAUUCCUCUUAACCAUAACAUCCAUUAAAUGGUAGGAGAUGUUUUACAGCAACAGUGCAGUGGAGUCCUGGAGUAGACUAAUUUCUUGUUGCUUUUUAACAGCAGCACAAACAAAAAUCUGGUACUGCUGAUCAGAAAAUAUAAUCACAAAUUAAAAUCAGCUGGUGAAGUUAUUUUAAACACCUUCAGCAGCACAAUUACCUGCUUUUAAGCUGUAUUAUAGCUUUUGAUGUUUCACAGGCACAAUACACAUUCAAAUGCACUGCUAGACACAGUAGACCACUGACAGUGCUUUGCCAGGCCACACAUCCUCUGAGCAGAAACAGUCACCAAUGCAUCUGUUUCAAAAAGAACUAAUUUAAUAUUUACAUUUUUUGUGUACUUUUGAGUGGGUGGUUCCACUCUUCCAGUUUGAUGUGCCAGUGUAAAGUGUGAGUUGUCAGAGAGAGAAUGUCAAAACACCUUAGUUAUUAUGCUCUAGAGUCAUGAACACAAUCUUUAUACUGCAUUAUGAUUUUCACCUUUACCCACCAGAUUUCCUGGCUAGCUGUUCCUCAGUAGUUGUUUUCUUGAAUCAUGGUGAUUUAUAUGAAAAUAUGGGACCAUUUUAAAAAAAUGUUGAAGUAUUUAUUUCCUCUUAAUGCAGCGCAAUAUUUGGAAGCUUUUUUGACAGGCACUGAAUUGUUUUAUCAGGAAAUAAUAAAAUCUGUCUGAUCAUUUAACAGAUCUAUCAGUGAUUCAGCAG
This is a long non-coding RNA of Taeniopygia guttata (zebra finch), 3113 nucleotides long. The record is from Ensembl. Lineage: Eukaryota; Metazoa; Chordata; Aves; Passeriformes; Estrildidae.